Molecule: ribosomal RNA, 499 nt
Filed under: uncultured bacterium
Lineage: Bacteria
Description: bacterial SSU rRNA
Rfam family: Bacterial small subunit ribosomal RNA
Source: RNAcentral
AUGAACGCUGGCGCCGUGCCUAACACAUGCAAGUCGAACGGGACUACCUGGAGAUGUUUCGGACUGAUCCUUAUAGUUUAGUGGCGGACGGGUGAGUAACGCGUGGACAACCUGCCUUCACAGGGGGAUAGCAGCUGGAAACGGCUGGUAAUACCGCAUACGCUCAUGCCACCGCAUGGUGGUGUGAGGAAAGAUUUAUCGGUGAAAGAUGGAUCCGCGUCUGAUUAGCCAGUUGGCGGGGUAACGGCCCACCAAAGCGACGAUCAGUAGCCGGCCUGAGAGGGCGGACGGCCACAUUGGGACUGAGACACGGCCCAGACUCCUACGGGAGGCAGCAGUGGGGGAUAUUGCACAAUGGGCGCAAGCCUGAUGCAGCGACGCCGCCGUGAGUGAAGAAGUAUUUCGGUAUGUAAAGCUCUAUCAGCAGGGAAGAAAGACCCGCAAGGGGGAUGACGGUACCUGACUAAGAAGCCCCGGCUAACUACGUGCCAGCAGCCGC